This 450-nucleotide ribosomal RNA is filed under the name uncultured bacterium. Its description in RNAcentral is "bacterial SSU rRNA". It matches the Rfam family "Bacterial small subunit ribosomal RNA", at positions 330 to 793 of the family's 1533-position model. The record is from RNAcentral.
UCCAGACUCCUACGGGAGGCAGCAGUGGGGAAUAUUGGGCAAUGGGCGCAAGCCUGACCCAGCAACGCCGCGUGAAGGAAGAAGGCUUUCGGGUUGUAAACUUCUUUUGUCAGGGACGAAGCAAGUGACGGUACCUGACGAAUAAGCCACGGCUAACUACGUGCCAGCAGCCGCGGUAAUACGUAGGUGGCAAGCGUUAUCCGGAUUUACUGGGUGUAAAGGGCGUGUAGGCGGGGAAGCAAGUCAGAUGUGAAAUUCCAGGGCUCAACCCUGGAACUGCAUUUGAAACUGUUUUUCUUGAGUGAUGGAGAGGCAGGCGGAAUUCCGUGUGUAGCGGUGAAAUGCGUAGAUAUACGGAGGAACACCAGUGGCGAAGGCGGCCUGCUGGACAUUAACUGGCGCUGAGGCGCGAAAGCGUGGGGAGCAAACAGGAUUAGAUACCCGCGUAAG